This 357-nucleotide ribosomal RNA is filed under the name Triticum aestivum (bread wheat). RNAcentral's name for it is "partial small subunit ribosomal RNA". The record is from RNAcentral. Lineage: Eukaryota; Viridiplantae; Streptophyta; Magnoliopsida; Poales; Poaceae.
AUGGAGAAGCAAUUGUCCACCGGUGGUAAGGAAGUCUUGUUAAAGGCUGUUGCUCAAUCUAUACCAGUGUUUGCUAUGUCUAUUUUUUGCUUGCCAAAGGGGGUUUGUAAAGAUAUUUGAGAUGCCAUUGCUCAAUUUUGGUGGGGAGAUGAAGAGGAAAAUAAAAUGCAUUGGUUCUCAUGGUGGAAACUAUGUAUUCCGAAGAGUGAUGGUGGCAUGGGCUUUAGGGAUCUUCAUUCUUUUAAUUUGGCACUUCUUGCAAAACAAUGUUGGAGAAUGAUAAAUAUGACGGGAAACGUUGAAUGGAAAACAAAAAAUUCCUACACACACGCAAGAUCUAUCCAUGAAGAUGCAUAA